CCCACCUGUCUUUUUCCUAUCUCUUGCACAGAGAUAUUGGAAGUCAAAUAUGAACACUAUGGAUUCACGGCACUGCAGAGCCUCAGCUUUGACUCACUGCCUGAAGACCUUGUUCUCAGCACUCUCCUUGAAUUGUGGAUAUGACUCAGAAUUUAGAAAAUAAUGACUGGAAAAAAACUCUUGAAUCUAAUGAAGUUCUUGUGACAGAACAAAUUUCAGAUUUCAGAUUUGCAAAGGAACCAUUGUUUUGUGGAUGAAAAGACAAAGAAACUGAAGCAAGAAGGUGAAAUAUGUCACCCCAAAUAAAUGAUGGAGUUACUAUUUAAACCUACACCACCGGAUCUUAGCGUCUGGCCCCUUAAUGAAUGUGCUGUAUUUCCCCUUUAAGUAAAAAAGUCAUUUCUAUUCUCUAA
This is a long non-coding RNA of Cavia porcellus (domestic guinea pig), 413 nucleotides long. RefSeq lists it as uncharacterized. The record is from RefSeq and is a predicted model, not a curated record. Lineage: Eukaryota; Metazoa; Chordata; Mammalia; Rodentia; Caviidae. The transcript is spliced from 3 exons.